UACGUAGGGUGCGAGCGUUGCCCGGAUUUAUUGGGCGUCAAGAGCGUGUAGGCGGCUUGGUAGGUCCGCUGUGAAAACUCGAGGCUCAACCUCGAGAUGUCGGCGGAAACCACUUGGCUAGAGUCCGGAAGAGGAGAGUGGAAUUCCUGGUGUAGCGGUGAAAUGCGCAGAUAUCAGGAAGAACACCUAUGGCGAAGGCAGCUCUCUGGGACGGUACUGACGCUGAGACGCGAAAGCGUGGGGAGCGAACAGG
RNAcentral lists this ribosomal RNA (253 nucleotides) under uncultured bacterium. RNAcentral's name for it is "partial 16S ribosomal RNA". It matches the Rfam family "Bacterial small subunit ribosomal RNA", at positions 524 to 776 of the family's 1533-position model. The record is from RNAcentral.